Molecule: ribosomal RNA, 253 nt
Filed under: uncultured bacterium
Lineage: Bacteria
Description: partial 16S ribosomal RNA
Rfam family: Bacterial small subunit ribosomal RNA
Source: RNAcentral
UACAGAGGGUGCGAGCGUUAAUCGGAUUUACUGGGCGUAAAGGGCGCGUAGGCGGUUGUGUGAGUGUGAUGUGAAAGCCCCGGGCUUAACCUGGGAAGUGCAUCGCAAACGACAUAACUGGAGUAGAUGAGAGGGUGGUGGAAUUUCCGGUGUAGCGGUGAAAUGCGUAGAGAUCGGAAGGAACGUCAAUGGCGAGGGCAGCCACCUGGUAUCAUACUGACGCUGAGGCGCGAAAGCGUGGGGAUCAAACAGG